CACUAAUCAGCAAUCAGUAGUUAGGAUUGUAAAAUGCACCAAUCAGCACUCUGUGGCUAGCCAGAGGUUUGUAAAAUGUGCCAAUCAGUGCCCUGGAAAAAUGCACCAAUCAGCACUCUGUGGCUAGCUAGAGGUCUGUAAAAUAGGCCAAUCAACACUCUG
Nomascus leucogenys (northern white-cheeked gibbon) is the source of this 162-nucleotide long non-coding RNA. RefSeq lists it as uncharacterized. The transcript has 3 exons. The record is from RefSeq and is a predicted model, not a curated record. NCBI's taxonomy places the organism in Eukaryota, Metazoa, Chordata, Mammalia, Primates, Hylobatidae.